RNAcentral lists this unclassified non-coding RNA (2795 nucleotides) under Ixodes scapularis (black-legged tick). Its description in RNAcentral is "exocyst complex component 4, transcript variant X1". Lineage: Eukaryota; Metazoa; Arthropoda; Arachnida; Ixodida; Ixodidae. The record is from RNAcentral.
UUGCUGGCAGUGGCAGCAGUGGGGUAAAGUGGGUAAAGUGGUAAAGCGGGGAAAGUGUCAAGUUCGUAGAGUGGGGCGCGAUUCCGACCGCGGUUACCCUGGGUCAGGACUUCCGCGACGCUCUUCGAUCACGACAAGCGUGGUGCGUGGUUGGGAGCCUCGGGUCGGCUCCUCUGCACGCCAUCGCAUGGCCAACUAUACGAGCGGGCCCGGUGGGCCCGUACGGCCUCCGCGAACCUUCAAGACCAGCAAAGACUCGAACGGCCUGCUGAUCUCGGUGAUCCGGUCGCUGUCGGCCAGCCAGAACAGCGCCGACCGGGACCGCGAGAAGGCCAAGCUCGAGAAGGACUUCAAGCGGAGCGACCAGAAACUGGACGACAUGGUGGCGCAAAACAAGGAAGACCUGACGAGAGCCAUGCAGGCGUUCAGCAAGAUCUCGUCGAGGAUCACCGUGUCGCGGGACAAGAUUCAGUGCAUCAAGGAGAAGCUGACCACUUGCAAAAUACUUCUGCACUGUAAGCGGGACGAACUGAAGAAGCUCUGGCUCGAGGCUGUGGAACACAAGCGCGUUCUCGAGCUUCUUGAAGAAAUCGAGUCACUGGUGGAAGUGCCCGAGAAAGUGGACGCUUUCCUGGAGAAGAGGCAGUACCUGCACGCCACACAGCUCCUGGUUUCUUCCGUGCACCUGGUGGAGGGCAGCCUGGAAGGGGUCGAGGCUCUCAAGGACGUUCGGGCGAAGCUGCUCUUCAAAAAGGAGCGGCUGCACGAGGACCUAGUGGAGGAGCUGCACCGCCAGCUGUACAUGCGUGGGGAGGCCAGGCUCCGCAGGCCCCUGCCUCCCACCCCUCAGCCUUUCCUUGGCACGCUCGGUGAGCUGUUGCGGCUGGACGAAGGGGGCGAACGCCAGGGGCCGCCCUUCCUGGCCAUUCUGGUGCACUGCCUGGCCCUGCUGCAGCGCAUUCCGGACACUCUACAGGUGAUGAAGGAGCGCUGCCAAUCGGAGCUCCUGUCGAUGGUGUGGCGGUCAAGCCAGUUCCUGGUGGACAACAACCGGCCCACGCCGGCCCUGCUGGUGGAGCUGCUGGAGCUGCUCUUUGAGCAGUUCCGCUGGGUGGUGGCGGCCCACGGGGCUGCGCUGGGCAGCAUGCAGGCACUCAUGGCCAGUCAAGGCCUGGAGUACGACGCUGCAGCCUACGGCGUCUCGGACGUCUGGUUUCAUAUGCAGUCUGUGGUGGAGUACAUUGUGGGCAAGUACCUGGAUGUGCACAACAGCAGCGGCGCCCAGCAGGUGGCCGCCCCUGCCUUGACGGACCUGGUGGCGAACAACGACCUGGCGUCGUGCUUCACUCGCCGCAGGAACGCCAAGCCCAAGAAGUUUGCCCUGUUCCGCUUCGACUGCUCCUCGCACGCCAUCAGCAUGAGCACCUACCUCAAAGAGCAGAUGGAGGAGCUCAGGGACGAGAGUGGCUACGUGGAGGUCGAUGACACGGGCCCUGGACUGGUGUGUACUCCGGCCUCGAGGAACGUGACGUACAUCUUCAAGCCACUGAUGGCCUUUGUGGGUGAGAUGGAGGCUGCCCUGGGCCUGCCCAACGGACAACACUGCCAGCUCUAUGGGCACCUGCUGCACUGGGUGGACGUGUUCCUGGCCCAUGUGAACAAUGACCUGGACAACGCCAUCGACGCAGCCACCAAAAGUUUGGAGACAUGGAAAGUGACUUCAGAACCCGAGAUUUUGAAGUCAUUGGGAGUUCUUCGGCCUUUGCUUCAGAGCACCGUGUGCGUGGACCAUAGCCUGCAGGGCCUGGAGGAACUGAUGCAGGCCCUGCCCAUGUAUGUGGAGCACUUUCUGGGCCUCGCAUGCACCAUUCUGCACAACUACAAGGAGACGAGCCAGGUGGCUUACCGAGGCAUUGUUCAGCCUGAGUCUGAGGAUAAGCGGAUCAUCAGUGCCACCUGGGCCAAGGAUGAGGACAUCAGCCGAUUCCUCAUGUCUCUGCCCAACUGGGCCAACCUGCAGCAGCCCAAGGAGAGCGACGUGCAGGAGUCGCCCGAGGAGGUGCGGCUGCGCAACAAGAAGGAGUCCGAGAUCCUGAUUGGGAACCUGGCCAGUGGCACGCUCAUCCCCCAGCACGAGAUCCUGGCAGAUGUGGCCCAGCUGCGUGUGCUUGCACAACUGCACGAGAGCCUGGAAUGGCUGAGCGGGCGUGUGCAGCGUGUGGCGGCCUCCCGACCCCAGGACACGGCGGCACAGGCACUGGGCGAGCUGGCCAGGGACUUCCAGGACGUAGCAGACACCUGCCUGCUUGUGCUGCACCUCGAGGUGCGCGUCCACUGCUUCUACUACCUGCUGCCCGUCACGAUACAGGGCAACUUUGCCAGUGGAGUGGACAGCCAGGAACCCGACCCCGAGGUGAUAAAGCUCACCAAGGACCUGUCAAGCAUGGACGAGGCCAUGACCGCCUGCCUGCAACAGAGGAAGCACAGGUACAUCUUUGAGGGUCUGGGCCACCUCAUUGCCUCCAUUCUGAUCAACAGCGCAUCGAGCAUCCAGAAGGUGAACGAGAAUGGCAUCAAGAAGGUUGUCCCAAUUCGUGGCUGCUGAAGAUUCUGAGGACUGUCGAGCUGGAGAGCGACCUACAGCAAAACAGGCGUCUGCCGUAUUCCCCUCCGCUGCUUUGCCACCUCCAGAAUUGCGACAGGCAACAGCAUGACGUGCAGAAACAUCUUUGCAAUGCAGCAGAACCUGACGAGCAUCACAAUGAACCGGGAAGUGGCCCUGGACUAUGCCCGGC